Molecule: long non-coding RNA, 905 nt
Organism: Hibiscus syriacus
Lineage: Eukaryota; Viridiplantae; Streptophyta; Magnoliopsida; Malvales; Malvaceae
Exons: 2
Source: RefSeq, a predicted model, not a curated record
GAAAAAGAAAAAGAACAAGGUUUCCGCCACUAAAUCCUAUUCCGUUCAUUAUCAAUAAUAUUUGCGGAACUGGAGCUUAUGAAUCUUCUGGGUUUCGGUUCGUAGGUUCACGUCCAACCUUAUCGUCUACCUGUGUUCCAGGAGAGGCAUCCUGUCUGAUCCUUUUGAACAGUUUUGACGAAAAAACUAUAAACGACACUUAUGAGUUUGAUUUCUGCAAGCUUCAAAUUCGGUUUGUCUCCUCAAACAAGACUUUUUACAGGAAAGUCUUUUACCACUCGAUCAUCACGAGGGUUUCUUACCAUCCGAGCAGUGCAAGAGAAUGGAGGUCCUCGAAGAUUGGUUGACAUCAUAAGGCUUGUGCCCGACAUUUCCAGGAAUUACUUUCGAAGCCCUUCUCGAAGGGCACUUUUUGGUGGAAUCUCCCUGUUGGGAGGUUUUUACGUCGCACAAACAAUCUCUCUGUCCUUCGGAGCUUUAGGAGUAAAUGAUGUGAUUGCAGCGGUCGUAUGUGUGCUACUGACGGAGUAUGUGACAAGGUUCUAUUACAGCCGUCCGAAGGUAACCUUCCCCAUUGCUCUUCUCAACAAUUUCAAGAUGGGUUUCACUUAUGGACUCUUCAUCGAUGCUUUUAAGCUUGCCAGUUGAUUAAACCCAUUUUAUCUCGACCCUUGUGAUUGUCAUUAAUUCUUAGUAUCGAGUUUAUAUACCUCUCGAAUUUCCCAUCACGAUAUACGUCUGAGUUUAUUCUUCUCUUACGUGUCGGUGAAGCAAACUCUCAGACAAAAUGAUUCGAUGUAUUACGUUAACCUAAUCGUUAUGCUGUGAAGCUAGCAACUUUGUGGUUUCGGACACGGAUCUCUCCCUGUAACUAUUGUACUGAAUUGAAUGUGGUUUUUUUCGCC